This 637-nucleotide ribosomal RNA is filed under the name Lottia sp. ESU 2. RNAcentral's name for it is "partial 16S ribosomal RNA". It matches the Rfam family "Bacterial large subunit ribosomal RNA", at positions 1825 to 2601 of the family's 2925-position model. Lineage: Eukaryota; Metazoa; Mollusca; Gastropoda; Lottiidae. The record is from RNAcentral.
GGCCCUCCGCAUGGUAAUCACGGGAGGUCAUACCUGCACAAUGACCUACGGGUUCAAUUGCCGCGGUAACCUGACCGUGCAAAGGUAGCGUAAUAAAUAGCCUAUUAAUUGUUGGCCUGUAUGAAUGGUCUUACGCUGGCGGCGCUGUCUCUUCAGUAUUGAUUUGAAGUUAACUUCUGGGUGAAAAGGCCCAGAUUAGCCUGAAAGACGAUUAGACCCUAUCGAACUUUAGGUAGACCAGUUGCUAGGAAGCUAAAAAAAGCAUUUCCGCUCUGCUGUUAAACCUUUGGUUGGGGAAACCGGGGGUUAAGAAAACCGCCCCCCCCCUCUUGAAAAUAGACACCCGUUAUGUUAGGGGUAAUAAAGACUUUACCCCCAGGGCAAUAGGCCUUCAGGAAAGUUUCAGGAUAUUUUAUAAAAGAGUCUGACAAGACAUAAUUUACUUGUAGAAUGAACCUAAAGACCUGCUUAAAGCAGGAAACUAUUAAAUGGGAAGAGUUACCGUAGGGAUAACAGCGUAAUCCUCCCGGCGAGACCACAUUAAGGGGAGGGUUUGCGACCUCGAUGUUGGCUUAGGGCCUCCUAGAAGUGCAGGGGCUUCUAAGGGUUGGUCUGUUCGACCAUUAAAGCCCUACGU